RNAcentral lists this ribosomal RNA (490 nucleotides) under uncultured bacterium. RNAcentral describes it as "partial 16S ribosomal RNA". It matches the Rfam family "Bacterial small subunit ribosomal RNA", at positions 28 to 507 of the family's 1533-position model. The record is from RNAcentral.
GAUGAACGCUAGCUACAGGCUUAACACAUGCAAGUCGCGGGGCAGCAUGGGGGUUGCUUGCAAUCCCCGAUGGCGACCGGCGCACGGGUGAGUAACGCGUAUCCAACCUGCCCUUCACCACGGGAUAACCCGGCGAAAGUCGGACUAAUACCGUAUGUUGUCCAUUGACGGCAUCCGAUUUGGACGAAAGGUUUGGCGGUGAAGGAUGGGGAUGCGUCCGAUUAGCUGGACGGCGGGGUGACGGCCCACCGUGGCGACGAUCGGUAGGGGUUCUGAGAGGAAGGUCCCCCACACUGGAACUGAGACACGGUCUAGACUCCUACGGGAGGCAGCAGUGAGGAAUAUUGGUCAAUGGGCGUAAGCCUGAACCAGCCAAGUAGCGUGCAGGAUGACGGCCCUAUGGGUCGUAAACUGCUUUUAUGCGGGGAUAAAGUGGCCCACGUGUGGGUUUUUGCAGGUACCGCAUGAAUAAGGACCGGCUAAUUCCGUG